GACGAACGCUGGCGGCGUGCCUAAUACAUGCGAGUUGAGCGCUGAAGGUUGGUACUUGUACCAACUGGAUGAGCAGCGAACGGGUGAGUAACGCGUGGGGAAUCUGCCUUUGAGCGGGGGACAACAUUUGGAAACGAAUGCUAAUACCGCAUAAAAACUUUAAAAACAAGUUUUAAGUUUGAAAGAUGCAAUUGCAUCACUCAAAGAUGAUCCCGCGUUGUAUUAGCUAGUUGGUGAGGUAAAGGCUCACCAAGGCGAUGAUACAUAGCCGACCUGAGAGGGUGAUCGGCCACAUUGGGACUGAGACACGGCCCAAACUCCUACGGGAGGCAGCAGUAGGGAAUCUUCGGCAAUGGACGAAAGUCUGACCGAGCAACGCCGCGUGAGUGAAGAAGGUUUUCGGAUCGUAAAACUCUGUUGGUAGAGAAGAACGUUGGUGAGAGUGGAAAGCUCAUCAAGUGACGGUAACUACCCAGAAAGGGACGGCUAACUACGUG
Molecule: ribosomal RNA, 497 nt
Filed under: uncultured bacterium
Lineage: Bacteria
Description: partial 16S ribosomal RNA
Rfam family: Bacterial small subunit ribosomal RNA
Source: RNAcentral